AAAGUGAAAAUUGUAGCCUGUGAUGG
Molecule: non-coding RNA, 26 nt
Filed under: Cricetulus griseus (Chinese hamster)
Lineage: Eukaryota; Metazoa; Chordata; Mammalia; Rodentia; Cricetidae
Source: RNAcentral